Zea mays is the source of this 1293-nucleotide RNA transcript. RefSeq lists it as uncharacterized. The transcript has 5 exons. Lineage: Eukaryota; Viridiplantae; Streptophyta; Magnoliopsida; Poales; Poaceae. The record is from RefSeq and is marked validated.
GCUGGGCCCGGACCCGGGAGGGCAACGGCCAGCCGAUCGUCCGCGUGGCGUGCAUGGCAUGCACAUGGGCCACGACGACAGCUGGCGGGGCGGCCUCCUUCCUUCCUCCUGCCCCAGUUUGAUCCCUCCUGUUCCCGUCCAAAGUGUGGCGUUGUCACUUGUUGUCAGGCUACCGGACCAAACUGCGUGCUCCGGCCUCCGGGAGAGGAGAGAGGGUAGAGCCAGAGGAGUUGGGCGCGCAGCAGGAUGAGCGGGGAGGAGGCCGACGGCUCCAAGCCCCAAGGAGGCGGUGUACACUACGGCACCUUCCAGGGGCCGCCCAGCUACCCGCCCCCGCGCCCGCCGCCGAGCCUCUCCGCCCACCACCGCGGCGACUACCAGGCCGUUCCCGUUCUGGAGCGACGGUUCUACUGUACUUCUCUAGUCUACUCCUACUUACUGUCAAACCCUUCUUGUCCUGUGCCUGUGCCCACUGUAUGCAAUCUCGAGAUUACGAGGCAGGUGUGCGGGGACGUAGCCAUGAUCGACUUCCCUGUUGUGGCAUUGGUUUUGGAUGGUUCCUGUUCAUAGUCGGUUUCUUCCUUGGUGCCAUUCCCUGGUACGUUGGAGCCUUUCUGCUGUGCUGUUCCAGAGUUGAUUACAGGGAGAAACCAGGUUAUGUCGCAUGUGUUGCAGCGGCUAUCCUCGCUACAAUUGCUGUUAUCAUUGGGGCGGCAGCUGGAACUCAUGUUCUUUGAUUUUUUUUAGCUUACAAGGCUAUCCUCACUACAAUUUAGGCUAGUUUGGGAGCCCGAAAAUCGGAGGAGAGUUGAGGGGCUAAAAUCCUCUUAUUAUUCAAAUUUGAUUAAGAAGAAGAUUUUAGUCCCUCCAAUCCACUACGAUUUUCGGGCUCCCAAACUAGCCCUUACUGUUAUCAUUUGGGCGGCAGCUGGAAGUGGAAGUGGAACUCAUGUUUUUUUUAGCUUACAUUGUAUUGUCAUUGUACAUACAUACAGUAGUACAUGGUGUCCAUGUGUCGAAGAAAUCGUGCAAUCAACAUCGUAAUGGAUGUCUGUUCUGCAUUCGCAAUUAUUCAUGUUUAUAACAAGGAGAACAAAGACCUUGCUCUUAGUCGUAAAUAAACCAGACGGAGAUGACUCCGCCUUGUGAAAAAUGAAGGAAUUUGAUCUGGAAGAAAAUUGUAGCCAUGUAUUGUGCUUUAAUGGCUGAUCUAUGAAGUUGUAACCAGGGUUUGCUGGAGCUGAACGAACAUGCUGCAUCAAAUUUGUCAAGAAGUGUUGUCUUGCUUGUUUU